This 241-nucleotide unclassified non-coding RNA is filed under the name Hevea brasiliensis (rubber tree). The record is from RNAcentral. Lineage: Eukaryota; Viridiplantae; Streptophyta; Magnoliopsida; Malpighiales; Euphorbiaceae.
GAAGGAAUUGUUGCUUACGCUUAGGUAGGUAGAGAUUUAUAUAAAAUAAUGGCAGAGAAAAAAAAACAGUAACGAAAAGGUCCAAGUUUGCGGGAAAAUUGAGAAUUUUCUCGAGAAAGAGGCAGGCGGUCAACUAAAGGAAGAGAAGAGACGUGAGUCGUGCGGGAUCCGAGACUGAGUCAGUCACACGGUUUUUCGCAAUCCCUCUCUCUCUGCAAAGAGAAGAGAAGAGAGGAGGUGG